CUGGAAACCGGCCUCUCAGAUUCCCCUUACCUGAUUCAAAGAGCCUCUUUGGCCUAAAAGCCAACCCUGGCAGUGACCCGCACGCACACACGCACACACCGACAGCAGCCUCGGAGGUCACUCUGGACGGAUUCCCUACACCACAGGUGAAGCCGGGAGCAGCUCUCACCGGGGCUGUGGGUGCGGUGGGCGGGCUGGGUGCGCACCCCACCUUCUCGCCUCUUGGGGACAGUGCUGCGGCGGAUUCCACGCGGUCUCGAGUGUCCUCAGCGAGACUGAGCCCCUGUGGCCCUCUGGACACCUGCUCAGGCACGAGCCCCGUACUCCCGUUGUACCCAAAUGCUCGCCUCAGGUCCGCUGGGGGGAAACCCAAGCUCGAACGACUUCUUCCUGUUUUCUUCUGAAAAUUCCUGACUCUGUUCCCAUUCGUCUUUCUGCGUUUCAGGAGAGGCAGCACCCAGCCCAGCCAAGCCCUGCCCCUCUCCUCUCCCGCCUCGCCUCGAACAGUCCCUUCCUCCUCCCGGUGCCUCCUCGCCUGCACAGGCUCCCACCACAGAUCCCGACCGGCCUCCGGGUGCCUCCGGGUUUCCCCUCCCUACCCAACCCCCGCCUUCAACUGCAGCCCCGCGGUGCGCGGCGAGGACGUUUCCACCAGCGACAGCCUGGCCUCCAAGGGUGCACCUGGUACCGCGCGGGUGUCCCGCGGCACACCCUCUGGGGGUGCGAGGGCUCUCGGUGGCCUCCACAGAGGACGUGAAGGGCCCGUUUCCCGGAACGGCCGUGCCGCUCAGCCGCUCAGCCGCGCGCGGGACUGGGAGCCGCUUCAUUGACUCGUCUGCCCGGAGGAUCCCGCUGCUUCCUCACGUUCACCCCGACUGUAGCAUGUGCUGGGACCUCACCCCUGUCUGUGGCUGAACAUUAUCCCAACCCAAGGAUGUCCCACAUCUCCCUGGUCGCCUCAACAGAUGAAGGACAUCUGGGUUGUCUCUACCCGUGGCUAUUCUGACUAAUGCUGCUAACACCGUGUGUAUAGAAAUGUCUGUGUGGACAGGCACUUUCACUUCUCCUGGGUCCAUAACUGGGAGUGGAGUUGCGAGCUCACAUGGAAACUCCGCGCUUCCUUUUCUGAGCAGCUGCCGCACAGUUUCCCACUGCACCUGUGCCACCACACCACCACUCGCAGUACACAAGGGUUCUGCUUUCUCUCUG
This 1209-nucleotide long non-coding RNA is filed under the name Heterocephalus glaber (naked mole-rat). Its description in RNAcentral is "lncRNA (ENSHGLG00000035809.1)". The record is from RNAcentral. Lineage: Eukaryota; Metazoa; Chordata; Mammalia; Rodentia; Bathyergidae.